GCACAGAUGACAAUUUUUCCCAUUGCUAGAGCUUCUGCUGUGGUAGUGCAAAGAACAUCCGUCGUGCUAGGGUUUAGAAAUAUCUUGUAGUCAUGAAAUACUGGGUCAGCAUGGUCUCGGCCGGGGUAAACUGAUAUGUCGAGUUUCAGCUUUCCAGCAUAUUGCUUUACUUGAUCAUGAUCUUCUCCGGUUCCAUACAGAUCCACUUUAAUCCCA
RNAcentral lists this unclassified non-coding RNA (216 nucleotides) under Hevea brasiliensis (rubber tree). Lineage: Eukaryota; Viridiplantae; Streptophyta; Magnoliopsida; Malpighiales; Euphorbiaceae. The record is from RNAcentral.